Molecule: long non-coding RNA, 668 nt
Organism: Scophthalmus maximus (turbot)
Lineage: Eukaryota; Metazoa; Chordata; Actinopteri; Pleuronectiformes; Scophthalmidae
Exons: 3
Source: RefSeq, a predicted model, not a curated record
UAUAUUUACUUGCCUUAUCAGCAACACAUCCUCCUAAUGUUAAAAAAACCCAAAUGUAAUCUGAUCACAUUUAUAUUUCCUGUCGAAGGUAUUUGCAGUUUAAUUCAUUUCGAAAAUGUCACAUUCAGGAGACAGAGCUUGACGUUCCCAUGUUGUGUUGAUCCAGACAUUCAAGCCCGACCCUCAUUCCUCUAUAGCCAGAAUCAGAAAAGAACUUUUUUUUUUACAGUGUAACAGUUUUGCUUCUUUCAGUCUCCACCUGAAGGAAACCAACAGAUAGGACCAAGUGCCUUUGAGGCCCCUGCUUCCCAAGAGAUGACAGACGUCCCUCUGCCUACUGGCCCGAGCUGUAGUUUUAAAUCACGGUGUCACUCUGAGCACAGGGAUGGACGUGCAGAAGAGAAUCGUCGGAGGUAACGAAUGUGAGCGUCACUACCAUGUCCACCUGAGGAUAGUUUUUGCUGAUGGAAAGAGCUCCUUUUGUGGCGGCUCUCUGAUCAGUGACCAGUGGAUUGUGACUGCUGCUCACUGUCACGAGGACGGGCUUGUGGGACUUCACUGCAUGCAAACGACAAGAAUAGAAGCCACUGGUCCCAGUCUGACCCAGAUUCAUUCACGGACUUCCUCGGCAUUGGUUUUGGGUGUCUUAUUGGAGCGCUCCACAAGGC